UGCAGGUGUUCAUAGAAAAACUUUCUGUGCAUGGGUAUCGCUCAGACGUUAUGAGGAAAAUGGCUUUAGCGAGUGCAUAUUCACUGUUAAUCUCGUCCUGCUUCUCUUACUGAGUAAACUAUAUUAGUUUCAGUUAUUAGUUACAACAUUAUAAUUUUAAUUUUCCACAAAAUCACGACUGAAAGGUUCAGGCUUACACGCACUGAGAUCAGAAGAGCAUCUUUCUAAUUUUGGGAGUCCAUGAGUGCAAGAGAAGAACCUAACUCCAGCCAAGAGUUCUCACUGAAUGGUUCACCAAAAUCACACUAGAGGACGCCACAGUGUCAUUUCUCUCUGCAAAUGCAACGCAGGAGGUGAGAGGUCAAAGAAGUAAUUCACACAGGGAAAUUUGUCCUGGACUCCAAGUGCUGCACUCAUCAGGCUGCCAGCUAAUAACAUAUUUUCUCACCGUCUGCUCCAAUCCGCCCAUCACUGUCGUCAUCAGCGGCACACAGGAAACCUUUGGUCUCCUUGUCUGUCAGAACGCGAGCACCAGGAGAAAACCUCUGGAGGAAAAACCUGCCAGAUAUCCUUUUACAGGCAGCAGUCCCAAAACGAGCACAUCUGAGCCACAUCCCGCUGCAAAUAUGCCCCUAUCAUUAGAGUUGCACUUAAAAUACAACCUCUACAACUCUGUGUGACCUGGAGCCUCACCAUGUAAAGAUGUCACAGAAUUCUGCAGAAGAGAGAGAACACAGAGGAUGCAGGAUUACAGAGGGGAUGUUGGAUUCAUUUAUUGGCUGGUUUUAGAGCAUGUGUUUUUAUAGAGGGCCGUUUCAGCACCAGGUAAUGGACAGCUCCUGAGUUUAAACAGCUCCUAAUCUUAUCGGCAGGCAGCUCUUACAGAUGUUU
Molecule: long non-coding RNA, 891 nt
Organism: Cheilinus undulatus (humphead wrasse)
Lineage: Eukaryota; Metazoa; Chordata; Actinopteri; Labriformes; Labridae
Exons: 7
Source: RefSeq, a predicted model, not a curated record